GAGGAGUGGGAAUGCCUGGACCCUGCUCAGAGGGACUUGUACGUGGAUGUAAUGUUGGAGAACUAUAGUAACUUGGUGUCACUGGUUUGGAGUCAAAAACGUAUGAGACCAAAAAAAUAUUUUCAGAAAAUGAUAUUUUUGAAAUAAAUUUUUCCCAGUGGGAGAUGAAGGACAAAAGUAAAACCCUUGGCCUUGAGGCAUCCAUCUUCAGAAAUAAUUGGAAGUGCAAAAGCAUAUUCGAGGGACUAAAAGGACAUCAAGAGGGAUACUUCAGUCAAAUGAUAAUCAGCUAUGAAAAAAUACCUUCUUACAGAAAAAGUAAAUCUCUUACUCCACAUCAAAGAAUUCAUAAUACAGAGAAAUCCUAUGUUUGUAAGGAAUGUGGGAAGGCUUGCAGUCAUGGCUCAAAACUUGUUCAACAUGAGAGAACUCAUACAGCUGAAAAACACUUUGAAUGUAAAGAAUGUGGGAAGAAUUAUU
Molecule: long non-coding RNA, 480 nt
Filed under: Homo sapiens (human)
Lineage: Eukaryota; Metazoa; Chordata; Mammalia; Primates; Hominidae
Description: HSALNT0260398
Source: RNAcentral